ACUUCAGAAGGUGUCCAGGAGGGACUUCAGAAUGCUCUGGGGUCUGCUCUGCUCUUUCUCGGCUUUAUGGAGAAUAAAGUCUAUUUUCUGAUAUUCAAAACCUCUGGUCUGAUAAUUUGUAAUUGAUUAGUCGUCGAAUUUACGACAAAUGGCGCCCAACGUGGGGCUGAGAAGAGACGAUCGAGUGACACUGGACAUGCUGGGGCUUGGAGGAAAAACACAAAUAUGUGGCCACGAUAAAAAACGAAAUGGCUGAAAGAGAUGAAGAUGAUCCAUCAAGACCAACGCUCAAUGAAAUAUGUGAAAAUAAUAAACUUAAUGGGAUUAAUUUGCUAACAAGUGCAUUGGUGACUGAUGGCAUGGAAACUGACAGAAACAAGCAUCUAACACUGCAUCGCAUGAACUACUCUUGGGUCGACCCAUGAAAGAAACCUUGCAAGAAACAGCAUGACCCUUGCAAGAAACCACAUGAAACUUGGCAUAUAAUCUCACCUAUAACCUUGCAUAAACCUCUUGGAAUGGUUUGCAAAGAUGUCUAAUGCAGUAGGGACUUUAAUGAAGAAACAAAUAAUUGCCAUGUGCAUAGCGAUAUCUGUGCAGGAAACCAGAAAGGAGCCAUGUGAGAGAGCAGUGAUACAAGGUCCAACUGGUCUAGGUGAUUGAGUCUAUCUGAGGAUGCUCAGACAGCUGCUAAAGAGGAUGCCAUUGAUGAGGUACCAAUGCCUCAAAGAAGCGAAAGGGAACAACUCCAGUGAGGGAAAGCUGACUGGAAACAGAGGAGCCUGAAUAUUCCAAAGCUCUAAACUACGAAGUUCAACUUGUGGAAGGAGAAGUUUAUCAGA
Danio rerio (zebrafish) is the source of this 842-nucleotide non-coding RNA. Lineage: Eukaryota; Metazoa; Chordata; Actinopteri; Cypriniformes; Danionidae. The record is from RefSeq and is a predicted model, not a curated record.